Molecule: ribosomal RNA, 696 nt
Filed under: uncultured Bacteroidales bacterium
Lineage: Bacteria; Pseudomonadati; Bacteroidota; Bacteroidia; Bacteroidales
Description: bacterial SSU rRNA
Rfam family: Bacterial small subunit ribosomal RNA
Source: RNAcentral
AAGGCUGAUGGCGACCGGCGCACGGGUGAGUAACACGUAUCCAACCUGCCGUCUACUCUUGGCCAGCCUUCUGAAAGGAAGAUUAAUCCAGGAUGGCAUCAUGAGUUCACAUGUCCGCAUGAUUAAAGGUAUUUUCCGGUAGACGAUGGGGAUGCGUUCCAUUAGAUAGUAGGCGGGGUAACGGCCCACCUAGUCAACGAUGGAUAGGGGUUCUGAGAGGAAGGUCCCCCACAUUGGAACUGAGACACGGUCCAAACUCCUACGGGAGGCAGCAGUGAGGAAUAUUGGUCAAUGGGCGAUGGCCUGAACCAGCCAAGUAGCGUGAAGGAUGACUGCCCUAUGGGUUGUAAACUUCUUUUAUAAAGGAAUAAAGUCGGGUAUGCAUACCCGUUUGCAUGUACUUUAUGAAUAAGGAUCGGCUAACUCCGUGCCAGCAGCCGCGGUAAUACGGAGGAUCCGAGCGUUAUCCGGAUUUAUUGGGUUUAAAGGGAGCGUAGAUGGAUGUUUAAGUCAGUUGUGAAAGUUUGCGGCUCAACCGUAAAAUUGCAGUUGAUACUGGAUGUCUUGAGUGCAGUUGAGGCAGGCGGAAUUCGUGGUGUAGCGGUGAAAUGCUUAGAUAUCACGAAGAACUCCGAUUGCGAAGGCAGCCUGCUAAGCUGCAACUGACAUUGAGGCUCGAAAGUGUGGGUAUCAAAC